RNAcentral lists this unclassified non-coding RNA (253 nucleotides) under uncultured bacterium. RNAcentral's name for it is "contains 16S-23S intergenic spacer region". It matches the Rfam family "Bacterial small subunit ribosomal RNA", at positions 524 to 776 of the family's 1533-position model. The record is from RNAcentral.
UACGAGGAAGGCUAGCGUUAUCCGGAAUUAUUGGGCGUAAAGCGUGCGCAAGCGGUUUUGUAAGUCAUAUGUUAAAUACCCAGGCUUAACCUGGGAAGAGCAUGUGAUACUGCAAGACUUGAGGCGAGCAGAGGCAGACGGAAUUCCCGGUGUAGUAGUGAAAUGCGCUGAUAUCGGGAGGAACACCAAAAGCGAAGGCAGUUUGCUGGGCUCGCUCUGACGCCGAUGCACGACAGCGUGGGGAGCAAACGGG